This is an RNA transcript of Solenopsis invicta (red fire ant), 2417 nucleotides long. It is a transcript of the gene named odorant receptor 13a, with no coding region annotated. The transcript is spliced from 11 exons. The record is from RefSeq and is a predicted model, not a curated record. NCBI's taxonomy places the organism in Eukaryota, Metazoa, Arthropoda, Insecta, Hymenoptera, Formicidae.
GCGUACGUGGCGGAAGCGGAGUAGAGCGGAGCGGAAGAAACUUGAAAAGUCAGCAUUAUCAACACGCUGCGUGGACAUUGCAACCACAUUGCAGUCAAUCGAGCAACCAUCCCUCUCUACUUUAUUCCUAUACUGCAAUUAGUGUCAAGGGAAUAAAUGCAUGCCCUACCUGCUCUAACCACAUGCUGUGUACACGUGUGUCGAUUAUUGCAGGGAAAUGCGACAUUACUUGGCAAAGCGAUAUGAGGGACAACUGAGUCAUAUGAAACGUUUGACAGUUGAUCGUACGGCACGGCACGGCAGUCUUACGUGGAAGCCAACGGAAGCGAGAAGCAAGUUUGUAAAGCGAGUUGAUUGACGACCGGCCAACGCGCGCGCAGAAUAUCUCUGAAAGUCAUGGAAGUUAUGGCUGUUUCCAGCCAUUAUUAUGAUAUCGUUUAUAAAAUAUCAUCUCUCACUGGCAUGUGGCCGUAUCUAGAGUCUAGGACAAGAGUAUUUCGUAUGGCCUUGUUAACUAUAGUCUUGUUAACUCUCCUGAUACCGCAGAUAGCGUAUCAAUUUAUGUGCAAGAAAAACUUGCAUUGCACCUUCCAGGCAAUGACAGCCUAUUUACUCUGUAUCGUGAUUUUAAUAAAGAUGUACACCUUUCAAUUCAACGUUGAUACAAUUAAAGACCUCACUCGACACUUGUUCUGCGAUUGGAAAGAAUUAAAUACUUACGAAGAAUAUGAAAUUAUGAAGUCGUACGCCGCAAACAGUAGACGAUUCUCCUUGAUAUAUUUCGUAUACUUCUCUGCAGCGAUGAUUACGUUUACGUCCAUGUCUCUUAUACCGCAUAUCCUCGAUAUUGUAUCACCUCUCAACGAGUCCCGGCCUAUAUUACCGCCAUAUCGAGGAUACUAUUUUGUCGAUAUGCGAGAAUAUUUCUUUGAAAUAUUCUGGCAUUCCGUCGUGGCCUGGCAAAUUGUUAUAGUUGGUAUAAUUUCCCACGACUGCUUGUUUGUAACGUAUGUCGAACAUGUUUGCAGCAAGUUUGCUAUAACUGGAUUUCACUACAAACAUUUAUUUCAAGAUUGUAGAAAUAAAAUGAAAAGUACACCAUCGAUAAACCCUGACGCGACAGAUUUCAAGAGAGUAGCGUUCCUCGUACGUAAACAUCGAGAAGCAUUAGAACUCGCGCAAUUGCUCGAAGAUACGUUUACCAUACCUUUAGCUAUGCAGAUAUUUAUAGCAACGAUAGGGAUGAGCAUUACUUUGCUACAAAUUACGGAGAAAACUAGCGAUAACUUGGAAGCAACAAGGUACGUGUUUUAUGUCGGUGGUCAAUUGAUUCAUUUGUUCUUUCUUAGCUUCGAAGGACAAAGGUUGAUAGAUCACAGCCUUCAGAUACGCGAUAAGAUGUACAGCAGCUGCUGGUACAAAGCAUCCACGAGAUUACAAAAGAUGAUCAUGCUGGUGAUGAUGAAAAGUCUUCACCCGAGUUUUUUAAGCGCUGGCAAAAUUUACAUUUUCUCCUUACAAAGUUUCACAUCGGUCACGCAGCAGCAGGCCGACAUUUUACAACUCAUAAGGUAUGUGAUGUAUGUCGUUGGCCAAUUGGUCCAUCUAUUUUGCCUCAGUUUUGAAGGACAAAAAUUAAUAGAUCACAGUCUUCAAACCCGUGAUAAAAUCUAUAAUAGUCUUUGGUACGAAACACCGCCCAAGUCACAAAAAAUGCUUCUGUUUGUGAUGCAAAAGAGUCUUCAACCUAUUUUCUUAAGCGCUAGCAAGAUUUACAUUUUCUCAAUGGAAAACUUUACGAUGAUCAUGCAAACUUCAAUGUCAUACUUCACCGUCCUCUCGUCUUUGGAAUAAUUAAGCAACGAUCAGUGUCCAAAUAUCAGACUUCUGGCAUCCAGACUCUAUAUCGGCAAGGAUCAUAAUUUUUAAGUAACAUCAAGCAAGUUUAUUACCUAUUUGCAUGUAAGUAACAUAUUGAAACAAUUGUAGCAAAUUUUUUGCUUGCCUCCUCUGUGUAUUUGUAUUUGUAGUAUUUGAAAUCGAAGCAAAAGUUGCAACGUAAAAAAAUAUUCGUAACUCCAAAAUGUUUUGUGUUAUGUAAAAAUAAGAAUAUAUAUAAUAAUCGUUUUAGUUAGAAAUAGGUUUAAUAAUUUAGAAAAACUGUAACAUAGUUACACGGAUAUAUUUAUAAUUAACAAGGCACACUCAAGUUACAUUCAUUAGUUGUUACGUCACAAAAACAGAUGUGAGAUAAAAUUGUUUUUCUCUUACGAUUAUCUGCUAGCUCUGUCUAAAGUAGUUUGUGUAGUAAGUGAUAUUUAAUUCGUCAAAGAUGAUUAACUUAAAUAUGUAAACGAAUUCUUUGUUGUCACUUGCUUAGAAUAAAAUUAUAUACAAUAAAGUCUACGUUAAACGUU